RNAcentral lists this small nuclear RNA (320 nucleotides) under Octodon degus (degu). RNAcentral's name for it is "7SK RNA (ENSODEG00000023781.1)". It matches the Rfam family "7SK RNA". From Rfam's summary of the family: 7SK was discovered as an abundant small nuclear RNA in the mid-70s but a possible function has only recently been suggested. Two independent studies have found that 7SK RNA binds the CDK9/cyclin T complex (known as elongation factor P-TEFb). The record is from Rfam by way of RNAcentral. Lineage: Eukaryota; Metazoa; Chordata; Mammalia; Rodentia; Octodontidae.
GGAUAUGCUGGCCAUCAGCUGCGGCACGUCACCCCACGGAUCCCCCAGAUAGCCAGGGCUGACUCGGCUCAUCUGGCUGGCUAGGUGGGUAUCCCCCUCCUCCCACAAUGCUCCUCAUAUGUCCCCCUUGAAGCUGCACACAGUCCAAGAGGACGACCACCCGAUAUAGGGGACUCUUCCUAGUAGCUGUGCACCCCUGCUAGAACCUCCAAACAAGCUCUCAUGACGAUUCUGCAUCCACCCUGGAAACCAUUCAGAUCCUAACCUAAGAUUUAAAAUACACAGGCCAGGGCUGGAGAGAUGGCUCAGUGGUCUAAGGC